RNAcentral lists this ribosomal RNA (874 nucleotides) under Brachybacterium sp. D110. Its description in RNAcentral is "bacterial SSU rRNA". It matches the Rfam family "Bacterial small subunit ribosomal RNA", at positions 56 to 941 of the family's 1533-position model. The record is from RNAcentral. Lineage: Bacteria; Bacillati; Actinomycetota; Actinomycetes; Micrococcales; Dermabacteraceae.
UGCAAGUCGAACGAUGACGACAGGGCUUGCUCUGUCUGAUUAGUGGCGAACGGGUGAGUAACCCGUGAGUAACCUGCCCCCCUCUUCGGGAUAACCUCGGGAAAUCGGGGCUAAUACCGGAUAUGACUUCGCACCGCAUGGUGUGUUGUGGAAAGUUUUUCGGUGGGGGAUGGACUCGCGGCCUAUCAGUUUGUUGGUGAGGUAAUGGCUCACCAAGGCGAUGACGGGUAGCCGGCCUGAGAGGGCGACCGGCCACACUGGGACUGAGACACGGCCCAGACUCCUACGGGAGGCAGCAGUGGGGAAUAUUGCACAAUGGGCGAAAGCCUGAUGCAGCGACGCCGCGUGGGGGAUGACGGCCUUCGGGUUGUAAACCUCUUUCAGUAGGGAAGAAGCGAAAGUGACGGUACCUGCAGAAGAAGCGCCGGCUAACUACGUGCCAGCAGCCGCGGUAAUACGUAGGGCGCAAGCGUUGUCCGGAAUUAUUGGGCGUAAAGAGCUUGUAGGUGGCUUGUCGCGUCUGCCGUGAAAACCCGAGGCUCAACCUCGGGCGUGCGGUGGGUACGGGCAGGCUAGAGUGUGGUAGGGGAGACUGGAACUCCUGGUGUAGCGGUGAUAUGCGCAGAUAUCAGGAAGAACACCGAUGGCGAAGGCAGGUCUCUGGGCCAUUACUGACACUGAGAAGCGAAAGCAUGGGGAGCGAACAGGAUUAGAUACCCUGGUAGUCCAUGCCGUAAACGUUGGGCACUAGGUGUGGGGAACAUUCCACGUUUUCCGCGCCGUAGCUAACGCAUUAAGUGCCCCGCCUGGGGAGUACGGCCGCAAGGCUAAACUCAAAGGAAUUGACGGGGGCCCGCACAAGCGGCGGAGCAUG